AUUUGUUCUAACAGCUGAUCGCAGAGUUGAUCAUUCAUACCUUUAUAUGGAUUUUGGACCUAUGAAUAGGGACAUUCUCUUCACCCAUUUAAAUUUGAAUUUCUUCAACUUAAUGAUUCUGAAAUGGUCAGGUCCCUUCCAAUCUUGAUUAAUUCCCCUUAUCCUCGUCAAUUCUCUUAUGCCUUGUAGCAAUUCUCUUGAAUUCUACUGUUCCUAUCCUUCCAAGAUAAUUUCAACACAACCCAGAGGGAUGUUUGCAUGUUGCCAAAGAAACAACUUUGAAAAAGAAAUAUGAACAGAUACACAACCAAACAAG
This 316-nucleotide unclassified non-coding RNA is filed under the name Hevea brasiliensis (rubber tree). Lineage: Eukaryota; Viridiplantae; Streptophyta; Magnoliopsida; Malpighiales; Euphorbiaceae. The record is from RNAcentral.